ACGAAGGGGGCUAGCGUUGUUCGGAUUUACUGGGCGUAAAGCGCACGUAGGCGGAUCGUUAAGUCGGGGGUGAAAUCCUGGAGCUCAACUCCAGAACUGCCUUCGAUACUGGCGAUCUUGAGUCCGGAAGAGGUGAGUGGAACUCCUAGUGUAGAGGUGGAAUUCGUAGAUAUUAGGAAGAACACCAGUGGCGAAGGCGGCUCACUGGUCCGGUACUGACGCUGAGGUGCGAAAGCGUGGGGAGCAAACAGG
This 252-nucleotide ribosomal RNA is filed under the name uncultured bacterium. RNAcentral's name for it is "partial 16S ribosomal RNA". It matches the Rfam family "Bacterial small subunit ribosomal RNA", at positions 525 to 776 of the family's 1533-position model. The record is from RNAcentral.